GUGUUCUCCCUGUUUUCCGUCACCACGGCAACACUUCCGGUGUCACCUAGUUCGCAACAAGUAAAAAUAAAAACAUCCCGAAGAUUUCCCUUCGAAAUACUGACUAAUGAGUGAAACCGUGACUCAGACGGUCUUGAGGAAGCCCGUGAAGAAAUGUACGAGACGAGAACGAGUCUACGAUUAUUUAUACGAUCCAGUGUACACGCUGUCGUCAGAGGUGGACCAUGUCCGGUCCGGACUAAAGGCCUGCAGGUCCGCAGACAGGCUGCGGAGAGUGCCGGUGUUCGGUUCUAUGUUCAGUAACCUGGUCCACCAUCCACGCUACACCCUUCGCCUGGACCCUGUGGACCCAGUGCCGCCAUCUGUUGACCGCUUUUGGCCAGGCCACACAGAGCAGCGGCGUCAGGCCCUGCAGCAUCUGACCGGGGUCAGUCCAGGUGGUGACACGUGCCAUGUGACCGGAGUGGAUCGAUGGAAAUACUUCAAGCGACCUCUGAUCCCGGUCACAGAACCAGUUCUUCCCAAUGUGGUUUAUUCUCUGCCACAAAAAGACUUUGUCUCAACAGAUGACAAAGAUGUCAGACAGCCCCCCUCUUGCUCCACUGUUGCGGUGCAAACAGACUACAGGGAGAGUGAGGCACAGACUGACCCCUACAGUCCAGGAUAUCUGAUCCAGCCUGGGGGGUCUACACCAGAGCUGCUGCACCUGCAGCCUCUGUCCUGGGGUCGGGGGCUCCCAGCCGGGCUGGUGGAGGUUGAGAUGAUUGAGCGUGCUCGUGCCAGACGGGCCUGGGAGUCCAGUUUACCCCCACUGGACGACCUGAGUCAGCUGGACAAGAGGCGACGCACGAUGGAGGAAAUGGAGGCUAAAGAGUGGGCCUUUAGAGAAGGUGAAAUCCAGAGGCUCCAGGAGAUCCGCCUGGCUGUCCUGCAGGACCUGCUGAUGCAGAGAGACCAGGCCCAGAACCAGAUGACACAGGACAGACUGAACCAUCUGCAUUCUCAGCAUCUGAAGGACCGGGAGACCAAGACGGAGAAGAUCCGCGAGACCCACGUCAGGUCACUGAGAAAACUGGAGGCUCAGAGAAGAGACGUUGAGGGAAAGUUCCAGCGUGCAGGCUGCAGAGACUUCAGUCAGAACCAGAGGAGCCUUCGUCCUGAUGUCUUCAGGAGCCCCUAUCUGGACACAUACGAAGGUUUGUCAGACCUGGAGGUCAGACACUCGAGACGGGUGGAGAAACCCAAACGUCCAAUCAGCACCAAGGAGGUGACCCAGGAGCCAGUGAACGCGGCGGAAGAACUGCUGAACAAAUACAUGGUUCUGAGGGAGGAAGAGAGCCAACAAGUGAUGACAUCAUCAUCAUCAUCAUCGUCACGUUUUCUCCUGAAGAAGGAGAAGCCUGCUCCUCGCCCGGCUACACCCAGAGUGGAGGAGCCUCCAAAGGAAGAGGAGGAGAUGGAGUUGGCCGUCAUCAACCUCCAGAAGCUACUGAGAGGGAGACGGGUGCAGUGUGAGAUGUUCAUGGGUAAAGAGAACCACCAGGACCUCCUCCGGGAGCUGAGGUCCACCCAUGCUCUGCAGAAGGAGGAGCGGGAGCUGCAGAGAGCUGACAGAGAGUUCGUCCUCAGUCUGAAACAGAGCAGAGACCGGCAGCUGCAGGAGGCCUCUCAGGAGGAGGCGUCCCGGGCCGAAGCGGUGGGUGCCGAGCUGGAAUGUCUCUUUGACACUUUGUCCAAGGAGCUGAUUCGUCUCCAGGAGGAGAGAAGGAUCCAUGCCUUUUCAAUGCUCGCCGAAAGAGACCGCCGCCUUCGAGAGGCGGAGGAGAGCGGGAGGAGGCGGGUGGAGGAGCGCAGACGCAGAGAGGAGGAUGAGAUCUUCAGACAGGUGGUGCAGGUCCACCAGGACACCGUGGACUUGUUUCUAGAAGACACGAUCCUGGCCGCCACGGAGCAGACGGCGGACCAACAGGCCAGAGACCAGAUCCACAGGAAGGCCAGAGAGGUCAACGACAUCGCCUACGCCAUGGAGCAAAGCAGGAACAGUCGUCAGUCUGAAGAGAUCGUGUCAGAGCUGGUCUACAGCUUCCUCAUCCCAGAGGUGGAGAAGAUCCGUAUCAGAGGAACAGUUCACCUCAGGCAGCAGAGACACCUGCUGGCAGCUCGCAGCAUCGUUCUUGGGACUGCAGAGGAUUCAGCAACUCCCGGGUCUCCCCAGUCCAACUGUCCACCCCAGAAUGACUCCGGUCCAGUUGUGGAAGACAGUCCUGAGGAAAAGGAUCGGCAGCAGGAACCUGAAUCGGAGUGACUGAGGGACCAUCUAGAACCUGGAUGGAGAUAUGAUAAAGAUGAAAAAGACCUUUGACCUUUAGUUCAAAGGGAAUUCCGUAACUGAACUGUGUGCGAUUUCAUACCGUGUUCUGUGACAACAACCAUGAAAACAUUGUCUUCCGUGUGGAGCAAAGACGGGGAAACAACAACAGAACGAGAACGGACGUCAGGUAUAAAUAGAACGCAACUGUUUUAACGCAGCGGUAGGAAAACAUGG
This is an RNA transcript of Cynoglossus semilaevis (tongue sole), 2545 nucleotides long. It is a transcript of the gene named cilia and flagella associated protein 91, with no coding region annotated. The record is from RefSeq and is a predicted model, not a curated record. NCBI's taxonomy places the organism in Eukaryota, Metazoa, Chordata, Actinopteri, Pleuronectiformes, Cynoglossidae. The transcript is spliced from 18 exons.